CUUAAAAGCAGCCACCAAUAAAGA
This 24-nucleotide non-coding RNA is filed under the name Cricetulus griseus (Chinese hamster). Lineage: Eukaryota; Metazoa; Chordata; Mammalia; Rodentia; Cricetidae. The record is from RNAcentral.